AGGGGCAGCAGCGGUACUCGAUGAGUCGGACGCCUCAUGAUGUUGCUGAUGCACUUGCUGAUGGGCGCGCUCGUGGUGAGCGCGGUGGCGGGCGCGGUGACGGGCGCGGGUAGAGACGAGAGCAGCGCCGUGUACUGGCACGCCGAGGCGCAGGCCGGCAUCGCCGCGCGGCUGGCGCGCCGCCCCGCCGAACGAGCGCGUAACGUCAUCAUGUUCCUGGGCGACGGCAUGUCCGUGCCGACGCUCGCGGCCGCGCGCACGCUGCUCGGACAGCGCCAAGGUGCCACUGGCGAAGAGGCCAAGUUAACUUUUGAAACUUUCCCUACUGCUGGUUUAGUCAAGACAUAUUGUGUGAAUGCACAAGUGGCGGACUCGGCAUGUACAGCAACCGCGUACCUGUGCGGCUCCAAGGCCAACCAGGGCACGCUGGGCUUGAGCGCUGCGGUGCCGCGCUGGGACUGCGACGCCUCCACUGACACCUCGCAACACGUCGAAUCCAUCGCUGAGUGGGCGCUUGCAGACGGUCGAGAUGCGGGUAUCGUGACAACGACGCGCAUCACGCACGCGUCGCCGGCCGGCACGUUCGCCAAGGCGGCCAACCGGCACUGGGAGAACGACGCCGAGGUGCGCCAGGCGGGCCACGACCCGCAGCGCUGCCCCGACAUCGCGCACCAGCUCGUGCACAACUACCCCGGCAACCAGUUCAAGGUCAUUUUAGGUGGAGGAAGGCGCGAAUUCAUUCCCACUUCAUCCAUAGACGAAGAGGGACGAUCCGGUAGGAGGACAGAUGGCCGCAAUUUAAUCGAAGAAUGGCAACGCGAUAAGGUUUCACGAAACGUCAGUCACCGAUAUAUCUGGAACCGCGAUCAGUUGAUGGACUCAUACUCAUCACCACCUCAAUAUUUGCUGGGAUUGUUCGAGAAUAAUCACCUGCAGUACCAUUUGCAAGCUAACUCUUCAACUGAACCCACUCUCGCUGAACUGACAGAGGUGGCGAUUCGAUCAUUAAGACGCAAUGAGAAGGGAUUCUUCCUGUUCGUGGAGGGGGGGCGCAUCGACCACGCGCACCACGACAACCUGGUGGAGCUCGCACUCGACGAGACGCUGGAGAUGGACAAGGCCGUGGCCACCGCCACGAAGAUGCUCUCAGAGGACGACUCGCUCAUCGUGGUCACUGCCGACCACGCACACGUCAUGACCAUCAAUGGCUACUCCGGCCGCGGUAACGACAUCCUCGGACCCUCCAGGGAGGUGGGACGUGACGGAGUACCCUACAUGACACUAUCCUACGCCAAUGGACCCGGAUUCCGUCCGCACGUGAAUGGAACAAGACAAAAUGUUACAGCUGAACCAAACUACCGUGAGUUUAUUAUAAUUAAUUAUAAACUUGAAGAAUUUAUAUUUCUAAACUGCUCUAAUCUCAGGACCGACCGGUCCAACUUGGUAUUGACGUGAUUUUUUAUGCGAUGUCAAAAGAAAAGAGGUGAUGUAGAAUGACGUAGGCUAUUUUCUGUCACUUUCUAGCCCCCACUUCCUUAAAAUAGAAGGUGGAAGUUUGUAUGGAGCAUUCCGCAAUUUUCAAGACAGAAAGCUAAAAAGCUUGGCAAUCUGGACUGGAAGACGCACGUGGACGUGCCGCUGGUGGACGAGACGCACGGCGGCGACGACGUGGCCGUGUUCGCGCGCGGGCCGCACCACUCCAUGUUCACGGGGCUGUACGAGCAGAGCCAGCUGCCGCACCUCAUGGCCUACGCCGCCUGCAUCGGCCCCGGCCGGCACGCCUGCGCCAGCGUCAGUGCAGCGCAACUCACCACUU
This 1816-nucleotide unclassified non-coding RNA is filed under the name Helicoverpa zea (corn earworm). RNAcentral describes it as "membrane-bound alkaline phosphatase-like, transcript variant X2". Lineage: Eukaryota; Metazoa; Arthropoda; Insecta; Lepidoptera; Noctuidae. The record is from RNAcentral.